Molecule: non-coding RNA, 45 nt
Filed under: Echinostoma caproni
Lineage: Eukaryota; Metazoa; Platyhelminthes; Trematoda; Plagiorchiida; Echinostomatidae
Source: RNAcentral
GCACUGAUGACGAGUCUCAAACAGGACGAAACAGCUGUCCAGUGC